Molecule: ribosomal RNA, 465 nt
Filed under: uncultured bacterium
Lineage: Bacteria
Description: partial 16S ribosomal RNA
Rfam family: Bacterial small subunit ribosomal RNA
Source: RNAcentral
GACGAACGCUGGCGGCGUGCUUAACACAUGCAAGUCGAACGGAAAGGCCCCUUUGGGGGUACUCGAGUGGCGAACGGGUGAGUAACACGUGAGUAACCUGCCCUUGACUUCGGGAUAACUUCAGGAAACUGGGGCUAAUACCGGAUAGGAAUCCUUGCUGCAUGGUGGGGGUUGGAAAGCUUCGGCGGUUUUGGAUGGACUCGCGGCUUAUCAGCUUGUUGGUGGGGUAGUGGCUUACCAAGGCUUUGACGGGUAGCCGGCCUGAGAGGGCGACCGGCCACAUUGGGACUGAGGUACGGCCCAGACUCCUACGGGGGGCAGCAGUGGGGAAUAUUGCACAAUGGGCGGAAGCCUGAUGCAGCAACGCCGCGUGCGGGAUGACGGCCUUCGGGUUGUAAACCGCUUUCAGCAGGGGCGAAGCUUGUGGUGACGGUACCUGCAGAAGAAGCACCGGCUAACUACGUG